Melospiza georgiana is the source of this 299-nucleotide long non-coding RNA. RefSeq lists it as uncharacterized. The transcript is spliced from 3 exons. NCBI's taxonomy places the organism in Eukaryota, Metazoa, Chordata, Aves, Passeriformes, Passerellidae. The record is from RefSeq and is a predicted model, not a curated record.
UUUAUGACUUUGUGUGGUUCAUGAAAUGUGAGGUAAUCUUGAGAUGAUUUACAUGGAACAUUAAAGGAGACUGAUUUUGAGGAGGGCUUAGGAAACUUUUAAAGGAAGGUUGGACUACAGGACAUCUCUAUGUGCAUCCUGAAGUCUGUAUACAGUUCCACUAUUGCAAAGAAGCUACAAACAUGCAGACAAAUUGCAGAUAUGAGAAAUUCCUCUUUACCACGUUAAUAUGGAAGGAUAUUUAUAUAUAUAUUGGAUAACUUCUAUGUGCUCUACUUAUAACCUUUUUUAAAACUAUG